GGUUCCAUGGUAUAGUGGCGAGGAUGAUAGACUUUAUAUCUAGUAACCCAAAUUCAAAUAUUGGUGGUAUCU
This is a non-coding RNA of Picea glauca (white spruce), 72 nucleotides long. NCBI's taxonomy places the organism in Eukaryota, Viridiplantae, Streptophyta, Pinopsida, Pinales, Pinaceae. The record is from Rfam.